Molecule: long non-coding RNA, 393 nt
Organism: Sitodiplosis mosellana (orange wheat blossom midge)
Lineage: Eukaryota; Metazoa; Arthropoda; Insecta; Diptera; Cecidomyiidae
Exons: 2
Source: RefSeq, a predicted model, not a curated record
UGUGUGUAGAGAGAGUAAGUGGCGUGCGCGCGUGUGAACGAACAAAGAAAUCGGAAUAUAAUUUACGUGUUGCGUUAUGUGCGUGAUUUAAUGCAUAUGGAAAUUGACGAAUAAUUUUGGCGCAUUGUGGAAGGUGUUGAAAACAACUGCUACCAACGAUGCUGAACUUCACAACACAAGAAAAACAGUUGUUUUGAUGGUGAACAAAAAACGAAACUAUUUCAACUGUCGACUCGUCAAAGAUCAAAAUGUAUGGACACGGUCUCAAUCCAAAUGAAAAAAAUGUAAUUAAAAAAAAAUGCACAAAACACAAAGACCCUCGACAAAUUGUCACUUAUGAACUGAUGCAAAAUCAAAUCAUAGAAACUAAUAAAAUAGAAACUUACGCAAAAA